AAUUCUUGCUGGUCUUCUGCUUGAUCCUCUUCUCAAGGACUCUGUGCGAUGCCCGCUGCUACUUUAGAACAUCCAGCAAGUAUGGGUGCAUUUCAAACAGAAACCUCUACGUUUUUGGUGCAGUGUGGAAGACUGAAGAUUGUUACCAAUGCAAGUGUAAGAUGAAUGCGAUGGUUUGCUGCAGCUUGGUUUCAGUCCCCAAGAACUAUGACAGGGUGAACUGCGUUGGUCUCUUCCACAAGAAAAGCUGCUCCAUCCGAGUUGUGAAGAAGACUAAUCCUGACAUAAGCUGCAAAGUCUACAAUGGGGUUGGUUAAGGCUGUUUGAUGUGUUUGUCCUCUUUCUUCUGCACAUCCUCUGGAAGUUAGGUAUAUUCUACAUCUGUGACUUAGAGAAAAUAAGCAAAGCAGCAUGGUUUCAUGAGGAAUGAGUUCACCUCAUGUCUUUCAUAGCUCUAGUUGUGCCAUCUGUCUUAUUUAUGACACUAGAUGGUUUGUCUUAUUAUAUACACAUUUAUAACAAAGCUUUACCACAGAUAACUUUGUGACUUUUUUCUGUUGGGAUCCAGAGUUAAAUAAAUUUUCACAUAUAUCAAAUGAUUUAUUUUUC
RNAcentral lists this long non-coding RNA (609 nucleotides) under Phasianus colchicus (ring-necked pheasant). RNAcentral describes it as "lncRNA (ENSPCLG00000017708.1)". Lineage: Eukaryota; Metazoa; Chordata; Aves; Galliformes; Phasianidae. The record is from RNAcentral.